Molecule: non-coding RNA, 376 nt
Organism: Vicugna pacos (alpaca)
Lineage: Eukaryota; Metazoa; Chordata; Mammalia; Artiodactyla; Camelidae
Source: RefSeq, a predicted model, not a curated record
CCGGGCCCGAGACGGGGAGAAGCGUGUCUGGGUCUGGGACCAAGGGAUCAGAAGAUGGAUGGAAACGACACGUGAGUCCUCCAGACCCUGCCUCCACCAGACUGCUCUGCUCUAGCGGUGUUCCAGAGGAUUCUUUUCUAGAACCAUCCCUUUCCUAACCAGUGGAGAAUUCCCCAUGAUCCUCCAAAGGCAUUUAAAAGUCCGCCUGAACAACAACAACAGAAAAAAGUGGAAGUCCUUCCCCUUCUGGCUCCAGUCAACAAGAGGAGAGAAGGACUCGGAGCCCCAGCUGGCAUGGGAGGAAGAUAAAUAAGAAAAAACAAAACAUGUCCUCAUGCUACAGUGGAAUGUUUAAAAAAGAGGUGAAAAGCACAAG